CGUGCUUAACACAUGCAAGUCGAACGGAGCACCCUUGAAAGAGACUUCGGUUGAUUGAUAGGAAUGCUUAGUGGCGGACUGGUGAGUAACACGUGAGUAACCUGCCCCGGAGAGUGGAAUAACACAGCGAAAGUUGUGCUAAUACCGCAUAACAUGGUUGUACCGCAUGGUGCUGACCAUCAAAGAUUUAUCGCUUUGGGAUGGACUCGCGUCCGAUUAGCUAGUUGGUGAGGUAACGGCUCACCAAGGCGACGAUCGGUAGCCGGACUGAGAGGUUGACCGGCCACAUUGGGACUGAGAUACGGCCCAGACUCCUACGGGAGGCAGCAGUGGGGAAUAUUGGGCAAUGGGCGCAAGCCUGACCCAGCAACGCCGCGUGAAGGAAGAAGGUCUUCGGAUUGUAAACUUUAAUCGUCGGGGACGAGAACGGACGGUACCCGAGGUGAAGCCACGUCUAACUACGUGCCAGCAGACGCGGUAAUACGUAGGUGGCAAGCGUUGUCCGGAUUUACUGGGUGUAAAGGGCGUGUAGGCGGAUUUGAAAGUCAGGCGUGAAAUGCCGCAGCUUAACUGCGGAGCUGCGCUUGAAACUUCAGACCUUGAGUACCGGAGAGGAAAGCGGAAUUCCUAGUGUAGCGGUGAAAUGCGUAGAUAUUAGGAGGAACACCAGUGGCGAAGGCGGCUUUCUGGACGGCAACUGACGCUGAGGCGCGAAAGUGUGGGGAGCAAACAGGAUUAGAUACCCUGGUAGUCCACACUGUAAACGAUGGAUACUAGGUGUGGGAGGUUUCGACGCCUUCCGUGCCGGAGUUAACACAAUAAGUAUCCCACCUGGGGAGUACGGCCGCA
RNAcentral lists this ribosomal RNA (849 nucleotides) under human gut metagenome. Its description in RNAcentral is "bacterial SSU rRNA". It matches the Rfam family "Bacterial small subunit ribosomal RNA", at positions 43 to 890 of the family's 1533-position model. The record is from RNAcentral.